GUAGUUAGGAUUGAAAGCCUAACUAGCUAUAUGCACGUAGUCGUAACUGAGAGGUUAUCGACCACCGUGGGCCUGAAUAAAGCCCAUGACGAUUGUCACAGCAGUGAGGAAUAUUGGUCAAUAGCCUAACGGCUGAACCAGCAACUUGGAGGAAUGUAUAGCAAUAGCUACUUGCAUCAUUGUAAAUAUGAUGCAAGAUCGACUAUGUCGAAUAAAAUUCUAGGUAGAAUUAUGAUAAUGACAUUGUCUGCCUAUGUGUCUUGACCAAAUUACGUGCCAGCUGUCGCGGUAAUACGUAGAAGACUAGUGUUAUUCAUGUUUAAUCGGUUUAAAGGGUACCUAGACGGUAAAUCAAGCCUAAAA
This 363-nucleotide ribosomal RNA is filed under the name Melanelia hepatizon. RNAcentral's name for it is "SSU rRNA". It matches the Rfam family "Bacterial small subunit ribosomal RNA", at positions 248 to 594 of the family's 1533-position model. The record is from RNAcentral. Lineage: Eukaryota; Fungi; Ascomycota; Lecanoromycetes; Lecanorales; Parmeliaceae.